Molecule: transfer RNA, 69 nt
Filed under: Apis florea (little honeybee)
Lineage: Eukaryota; Metazoa; Arthropoda; Insecta; Hymenoptera; Apidae
Description: tRNA-Gly
Source: RNAcentral
AUAUAUAUAGUAUAAUAAAUUACAUUUAAUUUCCAAUUAAAAAAUUUAAUAACAUAUUUAAUAUAUAUA